GAUAAACGCUGGCGGCGUGCAUGAGACAUGCAAGUCGAACGAAGGAUCGGGCUUGCUCGAUCCUUAGUGGCGGACGGCUGAGUAACGCGUAGGUGACCUACCCCGAAGUGGGGAAUAACUGCCCGAAAGGGUGGCUAAUACCGCAUGUGGUCGCACGUUCAUUCGUGCGAGUAAAGCCGCAAGGCGCUUCGGGAGGGGCCUGCGUCCGAUUAGCUCGUUGGUGGGGUAAUGGCUUACCAAGGCGACGAUCGGUAGGUGGUCUGAGAGGACGAUCACCCAGACUGGGACUGAGACACGGCCCAGACUCCUACGGGAGGCAGCAGUCGGGAAUUUUGCUCAAUGGGGGAAACCCUGAAGCAGCAACGCCGCGUGAGGGAUGAAGGCCUUCGGGUUGUAAACCUCUUUUGUCAGGGACGAUGAUGACGGUACCUGGCGAAUAAGCCACGGCUAACUACGUG
Molecule: ribosomal RNA, 458 nt
Filed under: uncultured bacterium
Lineage: Bacteria
Description: partial 16S ribosomal RNA
Rfam family: Bacterial small subunit ribosomal RNA
Source: RNAcentral